Molecule: ribosomal RNA, 658 nt
Filed under: Neonectria sp. nc_besc_869g
Lineage: Eukaryota; Fungi; Ascomycota; Sordariomycetes; Hypocreales; Nectriaceae
Description: eukaryotic LSU rRNA
Rfam family: Eukaryotic large subunit ribosomal RNA (bases 374-658)
Source: RNAcentral
CAAACCCAAAUUUCCUUGAGUGAGUCUUCUGAGUAACCGAUUAAAUUAAUCAAAACUUUCAACAACGGAUCUCUUGGUUCUGGCAUCGAUGAAGAACGCAGCGAAAUGCGAUAAGUAAUGUGAAUUGCAGAAUUCAGUGAAUCAUCGAAUCUUUGAACGCACAUUGCGCCCGCCAGUAUUCUGGCGGGCAUGCCUGUUCGAGCGUCAUUUCAACCCUCAAGCCCCCGGGCUUGGUGUUGGGGAUCGGCGAGCCUCUGCGCCCGCCGUCCCCUAAAUUUAGUGGCGGUCACGUUGUAACUUCCUCUGCGUAGUAGCACACUUAGCACUGGGAAACAGCGCGGCCACGCCGUAAAACCCCCAACUUUAGAAUGUUUGACCUCGAAUCAGGUAGGACUACCCGCUGAACUUAAGCAUAUCAAUAAGCGGAGGAAAAGAAACCAACAGGGAUUGCCCUAGUAACGGCGAGUGAAGCGGCAACAGCUCAAAUUUGAAAUCUGGCCUUCGGGUCCGAGUUGUAAUUUGUAGAGGAUGCUUUUGGUGAGGUGCCUUCCGAGUUCCCUGGAACGGGACGCCAUAGAGGGUGAGAGCCCCGUCUGGUUGGACACCGAUCCUCUGUAAAGCUCCUUCAACGAGUCGAGUAGUUUGGGAAUGCUGCUCU